GAUGAAGAACGCAGUGAAAUGCGAUAAGUAAUGUGAAUUGCAGAAUUCAGUGAAUCAUCGAAUCUUUGAACGCACAUUGCGCCCAUUAGUAUUCUAGUGGGCAUGCCUGUUCGAGCGUCAUUUCAACCCUUAAGCCUAGCUUAGUGUUGGGAGCCUACUGCUUUUACUAGCUGUAGCUCCUGAAAUACAACGGCGGAUCUGCGAUAUCCUCUGAGCGUAGUAAUUUUUAUCUCGCUUUUGACUGGAGUUGCAGCGUCUUUAGCCGCUAAAUCCCCCAAUUUUUAAUGGUUGACCUCGGAUCAGGUAGGAAUACCCGCUGAACUUAAGCAUAUCAAUAAGCGGAGGA
This 346-nucleotide unclassified non-coding RNA is filed under the name soil metagenome. Its description in RNAcentral is "partial contains 5.8S ribosomal RNA, internal transcribed spacer 2, and large subunit ribosomal RNA". The stretch from base 1 to 120 matches the Rfam family "5.8S ribosomal RNA", at positions 35 to 154 of the family's 154-position model. The record is from RNAcentral.